UGGACCUCGUGUUAAGGUGCAUCUAGUGCAGUUAGUGAAUUAGUUUAGAAUCUACUGCGCUAGAUGCUCCUUCUGGCAGGAGGUGCC
MicroRNA precursor from Lepisosteus oculatus (spotted gar), 87 nucleotides. Ensembl annotates it as microRNA 18c. Its record names the gene mir18c. Lineage: Eukaryota; Metazoa; Chordata; Actinopteri; Semionotiformes; Lepisosteidae. The record is from Ensembl.